Long non-coding RNA from Rhincodon typus (whale shark), 1783 nucleotides. RefSeq lists it as uncharacterized. Lineage: Eukaryota; Metazoa; Chordata; Chondrichthyes; Orectolobiformes; Rhincodontidae. The transcript has 2 exons. The record is from RefSeq and is a predicted model, not a curated record.
GCGUAAUGAUUUAUUGAUUGUAUUGCAUUGCCCCAGAGUUAGUGAGACUUGGUGUUAAAGUGCUGUCACCAUCCUAACUGAGACUAACCUAACACUGUACUGAGCAGACAACACAUUCUGGACUUCACUGUAAAUUACAUUAGAUGCUGAAUUAUACAGGACUUUUGGAUAUUGUCUAACUGACUCUGUCAUCUGGUUGCUCAUGUGUCUAUGCAUGCAUAAGUCCUUUGUGUUCUUGGAAGUUAUACAUUUCACCUGCUUAGGAAGAAGCACAUAUACCUCAAAACAGAUUUACCACCUAGAAAGUGCCAGUUGCGAUAGCCACUGUUCUGUAAUGAUAGUAUUAACACAAACCAUGGCUAAAACACUGUGAGAUUGUUGAGGCCAGACCAGGUAAGGUCUGCAGAUUUUCAUUCCCUAAUGAACAUUGGUCGACCAAAUUUUUGUUUUAAUGACAAUAUAAUGUUCCCAUGAUCAUUAUGGAGAAUAACCUUUUUAUUCUCUAUCUAUUCAUUGAUUUAAAUGCCCUCGUUGCCAUGCCGCCAUCUGAACUUGCUUCUCUGGAGCAAUAUUCUGGUGUUCCAGUAUCAGUGUUACUAUUCCUCUUCUGUGAUCUAAAUGGGAGGUACUUUAAUGUCCUGAGUAGGUGAAUUGGGUUGGGCCAAACAAAUGUGUGCUCAUUUGCACCUAUCUUGUGACCAGUGGUUGUAUUUGAAUUCCUACAGACCACCUUCAUUUCAAAUCAUCUUUUCCAAGAGUCCCUUAGAUGCUUCUUGAUUUCUCAUGGAAGCAGAUGAUGUUGAAAAUUGAUCCACGUGGACCAGGGAUGUAUUUUGAUUGAAAAUUAGUAUCACCUGGAAAUCGAUGCAGUGUUCAAGAGGAGACAGCUUCACUUUAGGUUCAUUAUUUCAACCCUUAAUAGCUGGUCUUUGACAAAAGUUACAGUACUACCAAAUCGGUGUUCACUGACGUGCAGCACCAUUCUGAAUAGAUCUGUUCACAGCUAGAUAUUCAGUGUGAAGAGGAUCCAGAUUGGCUGUCUUCCACAGUUGUUAAUUUGACUACAUCCAAAAGUCUUGAAUUACACCAAGACUGACACUCAGUGCCUUGAAACACCAACUUGAAAUAUCAGUAAGUGAAGAAGUUGUUGAACAAGACAGUUGUUUCAAACUCUGGUCUUCUCUAUCUAUCCAAUUUGAAAAUUUUGCAAUGAUAUAGUUCUCUAGUUUUGUCUCUGUAAAUACAAUUAGGUUUAGUCAAGAGAAUAAGGAGUCUCGGGAUCCUUACACCUUCCUACCAUUUGGAGUCGGCCCUCGGAACUGCAUUGGGAUGCGAUUUGCUCAACUGGCAAUGAAGAUGGCACUCACUUCUGUCUUUCAACACACGACCAUUGUGACUUGUAAAGAGACACCGAUUCCAGUAGAACUAGAUGUGACAGGAUUCAUGCGGCCUAAAAAACCCAUCGUCCUGAAAUUUGUGCCACGGCUGAACGCUGAUUGAAAGGAAUAAACUACUUGGUCGAUUCAGAGCUAUGAAAAUAUAUAGGACUAUGUAUGCAUCAAGAUAAUCAAAUGAAAGUGCAUGGAAACUUAAUUCAAUUAUAAAUCUAUAGAAUCAGAAAAAACCAUUAACAUACAUGUUAAUUUUUUACUUCCUGCUGUGAAAACAGUGAGAGAGUCACUCAUGUUUUACGAGGUGAUUUAUUCAAUAGGAAAACAUCUGUCAAUUGACUAACAUUUUUGUAAUCUCAGGUAUAGAAAUAAAUCAUGUGAUUGUAAAACUA